This 1269-nucleotide ribosomal RNA is filed under the name uncultured bacterium. RNAcentral's name for it is "partial 16S ribosomal RNA". It matches the Rfam family "Bacterial small subunit ribosomal RNA". The record is from RNAcentral.
UUGAACGCUGGCGGCAGGCCUAAUACAUGCAAGUCGAACGGUAACAUAAGAAAAGCUUGCUUUUCUUGAUGACGAGUGGCGGACGGGUGAGUAAGAUUUGGGAAACUACCUGAUAGAGGGGGACAACAGUUGGAAACGACUGCUAAUACCGCAUACAGCCUUAGGGUGAAAGAAGCGAUUCGCUAUCAGAUGUGCCCAAACGGGAUUAGCUAGUAGGUGAGGUAAAGGCUCACCUAGGCGACGAUCUCUAGCUGGUCUGAGAGGAUGAUCAGCCACAUUGGGACUGAGACACGGCCCAGACUCCUACGGGAGGCAGCAGUAGGGAAUAUUGCACAAUGGAGGAAACUCUGAUGCAGCCAUGCCGCGUGUGUGAAGAAGGCCUUCGGGUUGUAAAGCACUUUCGGAGGGGAGGAAAAAAAUGACGUUACCCUCAGAAGAAGAGAGUAUUGGCAGGGGGAGACGGAAUUCCAGGUGUAGCGGUGGAAUGCGUAGAUAUCUGGAAGAACACCAAAGGCGAAGGCAGUCUCCUGGGCAAAUACUGACGCUCAUAUGCGAAAGCGUGGGUAGCAAACAGGAUUAGAUACCCUGGUAGUCCACGCCGUAAACGAUGUCAAUUAGGAGCUUGGGCAAAAGUCUGGGUUCCGCAGCUAACGCAAUAAAUUGACCGCCUGGGGAGUACGGCCGCAAGGUUAAAACUCAAAUGAAUUGACGGGGGCCCGCACAAGCGGUGGAGCAUGUGGUUUAAUUCGACGCAACGCGAAGAACCUUACCUGAUCUUGACAUCGUAAGAACCUCACUGAAGGGUGAGGGUGCCUUCGGGAACUUACAGACAGGUGCUGCAUGGCUGUAGUCAGCUCGUGUCGUGAGAUGUUGGGUUAAGUCCCGCAACGAGCGCAACCCUUGUCCUUUGUUGCCAGCGGGUAAAGCCGGGAACUCAAAGGAGACUGCCAGUGACAAACUGGAGGAAGGCAGGGAUGACGUCAAGUCAUCAUGGCCCUUACGGUCAGGGCUACACACGUGCUACAAUGGGGCGUACAGAGGGAAACGAUACCGUGAGGUGGAGUGGAACCCAAAAAGCGUCCCUAAGUUCGGAUUGGAGUCUGCAACUCGACUCCAUGAAGUCGGAAUCGCUAGUAAUCGCAAAUCAGAAUGUUGCGGUGAAUACGUUCCCGGGCCUUGUUACACACCGUCCCGUCACACCAUGGGAGUGGAUUGUCACCAGAAGUAGUCUAGUCUUAACUUUAUUGAGGGCGGUUACCCACCGGUGUG